Molecule: ribosomal RNA, 253 nt
Filed under: uncultured bacterium
Lineage: Bacteria
Description: partial 16S ribosomal RNA
Rfam family: Bacterial small subunit ribosomal RNA
Source: RNAcentral
GACAGAGGGUGCAAACGUUGUUCGGAAUUACUGGGCGUAAAGCGCGUGUAGGCGGCUCGGAAAGUCGGGUGUGAAAGCCCUGGGCUCAACCCAGGAAGUGCACUCGAAACUCCCGAGCUCGAGUCCCGGAGAGGAAAGUGGAAUUCUCGGUGUAGAGGUGAAAUUCGUAGAUAUCGAGAGGAACAUCUGUGGCGAAGGCGGCUUUCUGGACGGUGACUGACGCUGAGACGCGAAAGCGUGGGGAGCAAACAGG